Molecule: ribosomal RNA, 141 nt
Filed under: uncultured bacterium
Lineage: Bacteria
Description: partial 16S ribosomal RNA
Rfam family: Bacterial small subunit ribosomal RNA
Source: RNAcentral
UCCUACGGGAGGCAACAGUGGGGAAUCUUCCGCAAUGGGCGCNAGCCUNACGGAGCAACGCCGCGUGAGUGAAGAAGGUUUUCGGAUCGUAAAGCUCUGUUGAGAGGGACGAGAGGCAAGGCUAGGAAAUGAAGCUUUGUA